This is a long non-coding RNA of Ictalurus furcatus (blue catfish), 2135 nucleotides long. RefSeq lists it as uncharacterized. NCBI's taxonomy places the organism in Eukaryota, Metazoa, Chordata, Actinopteri, Siluriformes, Ictaluridae. The transcript has 3 exons. The record is from RefSeq and is a predicted model, not a curated record.
UCAACUACAAAAGACCAGACUUUUAUGUGAUUUUGUCCAGAUCGUUUUUUUACUGUGCUGAGUGGUUCACAGACACAGCAGGGACAAGCACUUUGGGCCAGGAGACCCUGGUAUAUGACUGAAUCACAGUACUUCAGGGUUUUUUUUUUUUUUUAAAUUAAAUAUUCAACUUCACUACAUUUAUUUUUUAUCACCAUUACAGAGUUAUCAUAAAAUAUGGAAGACUCUAACCAAUUAAAACCAUGUGAAAAUGUUAAAUAAUUCUAUUUCAAGGCCCAUUUAAAAUAAACCAGCUCCUGCUGAAGGUUUACACUUCAGGCACCAAAUGCUUAGUCAGCAGCAGUGUUGCCUGAAGCUGUGGAGACAGAUGAGCAUCCCUGACUCCAUUUAUCAGGUAUCUUAAGUUUUAAAUGCGUCAAGGAAACAGUGUAGAGAUAUUUCACAGCUCACCCACAGAAACAUGCACAGGUAAGCCAGUAGGUAGGUGAGACAGCUAGACUAGCUAGCCAGAUAUUUUGAUGUACUAUGUAUUACACAUAAGAUGUCACUUUGACAAUCGACUGCCUGUUGUGUUAUAUAUAUGUAUAAUUGCUGCUAUAGCCUAAUGUAUGAGGGUUGUUGUUUCUAGAUAGCUAACUAUGUAGCUAGAAACAUGUAUUAUUUUCAUGAACUAGGUGCCUAGCUAAGGAACCUACCAAGUUACUGAAACCCCAACAACAUUUGGCUAAGUUAGCUAGGCCGCUAACGUUACCUUUCUUUAUACACUGUUGCUAACCUAGGUGUCGUACACUUGGUGAGUUAACAUAAGAACAGAACAGAAAAGAGAACAUUUUCAGAUUAGUCAUGUCAGUUGUAGACAUAUGAAAAAGUUAUUUGCAAAUUAAUUACUGGAGGAGUUUUUCAACAGACCAAGUGUUUACUUUUCCCUGAGUAAUUUUCUCUAUCGCUACUUUUACUCAAGCGAAAUAUUACUAGAGAAGCAGAACCUUUAUUCAUGAGAGUGUUUUGUACGCUUUCCAACAUUGACGACUGCCCAAAACCUACACUUUGAUUUUCUGCCACUACCCCGCACCAAAACCAUAUUUGCCACCAAAACCCAAAGGUCUACCACACGAGUACCAAAACAUAUUAAAUUAAUAAGUUAAACUUGUCUUGCAAAUGAAAACUUGACCUGAGUAAUGUGUUUGUAGGCAGCAAGAGCAAAAAAGGGUCUCACUGCACUGCGGGUUGUUAUGAUCAUGUAGGCUGAAGUUGUGUAGUAUAUUAGGGAGAUGAACGGUUAUCAGAAUAAAUGGUUGCAAAACGGGGUGUUUGGUCAGAACAUAGGCAGGAAUAUACUUCAUUUUCUCUUUAAUGAAAUUUUGCAGGAAUGCUUACCGUAUGUUUGAUUGUACCAGUGUAGUAUUCUGCUGUUUUUACAUUUAUUCAUUUUUUAAAGUAAUAAAAUAUAAAAUAAUUAGAAUGUACUGUAUAGUACAAUAUCACUGAACAAUUUAAACAACAGAGAGUUGAAAGAUUCAUGUCUUAUUGAUGUGCUCAACCAAAUGAUGGGAUUCACUGGAAAAAGCCAGAACUUGGUAGUGAAGUCAGACUUUUGGAUAUCACCAUGUCUUACAUGCAGAAUAUCACUUGUGUACUAUUAUUUUAAAUUUUAGUUUCAGUGUAUUUUGUUCAAAUGAAAUGCUGAACCAGUGCUAUAUUUUGUUCGUUAUAUUCUUACAAUCCCAGCAGGAGAGCAACAGUUUCUCUAGGCAACAACAGUAUGGCAGUUGGCACUAUGAUGAUGUCAUGUCUGUCCGUGAUAUUGUUAGCACAUUUUGCUGCACCACAGGAAGCUGUAGCUGUGUGCUGCUGAAGGUCAAAGCUGUUCAACUCUCCCAGCAGCAAACGUCAGCAACCAGCACCUGGAUAACAUUUCAGAAAUCACUGACUGGAUUGAAAAUAACUCUUGGCUGGCAGCUAACCCACAACAAGCACUUACACACAAAAGCAUUUAUUUUCUCAUUCCAAUAAUUGACCCAAAAUUAUAUCACUCACAAAGGUUAAAGGAAUGUACAAGUGAAACGUUGCUUAGAUUAUGAUGCAUUUACACAACACACUGUGUUGUAUCUAUAGUAUACUGAAUAAAAAUGUGA